GGGAAGGUGGCUCAGUGGUAGAGUGCUUGCCUUGCAUGCAUGAGGCCUUGGGUUUGAUUCCUCAGCAUCAUA
This is a non-coding RNA of Dipodomys ordii (Ord's kangaroo rat), 72 nucleotides long. The record is from Rfam. NCBI's taxonomy places the organism in Eukaryota, Metazoa, Chordata, Mammalia, Rodentia, Heteromyidae.